GGAGGGAUGGCCGAGUGGAUUAAGGCGGCGGCCUUGAAAGCCGUUGACCCGCUCCGCGGGUCCGUGGGUUCGAAUCCUACUCCCUCCG
This 88-nucleotide transfer RNA is filed under the name Deltaproteobacteria bacterium. RNAcentral's name for it is "tRNA-Ser". It matches the Rfam family "tRNA". From Rfam's summary of the family: Transfer RNA (tRNA) molecules are approximately 80 nucleotides in length. Their secondary structure includes four short double-helical elements and three loops (D, anti-codon, and T loops). Further hydrogen bonds mediate the characteristic L-shaped molecular structure. tRNAs have two regions of fundamental functional importance: the anti-codon, which is responsible for specific mRNA codon recognition, and the 3' end, to which the tRNAs corresponding amino acid is attached (by aminoacyl-tRNA synthetases). tRNAs cope with the degeneracy of the genetic code in two manners: having more than one tRNA (with a specific anti-codon) for a particular amino acid; and 'wobble' base-pairing, i.e. permitting non-standard base-pairing at the 3rd anti-codon position. The record is from RNAcentral. Lineage: Bacteria; Pseudomonadati; Myxococcota; Myxococcia.